This 810-nucleotide ribosomal RNA is filed under the name Triticum aestivum (bread wheat). RNAcentral describes it as "partial small subunit ribosomal RNA". The record is from RNAcentral. Lineage: Eukaryota; Viridiplantae; Streptophyta; Magnoliopsida; Poales; Poaceae.
AUGGCGGUGAGCAACAACAUCACGGCGUGCGUGACGCUGAUGGCGCUCAUCUGCGCCGUCCCCGUCAUCGCCUCGGGGGUGUGGUUCGCGUCGGCGCAGGGGGAGGAGUGCGCGCGGCUGGCGCGCUGGCCUGUGGCCAUCCUGGGCGGCCUCAUCCUCCUGGCGGCGCUGGCGGGCUUCGUCGGCGCCUACUGGAACCGCCGCCGCCUCCUCGCCUUCUACCUCUUCGCCAUGGCGGCGCUCAUCGCCCUCCUCAUCGCGCUCCUCGUCUUCGCCUUCGCGGUCACCCGCGGCUCCGGCGCCUACCCGGUGCUCGGCCGCGAGUACGACGAGUACCGCCUCGACGGCUUCUCCAUGUGGCUGCGCGGGUACGUCUCCGACGACCCCGCCCGCUGGGAGGGGAUUAGGUCCUGCCUCGCCGUCUCUGACACCUGCAAGAAGCUCGCCCGGCAGGCCGGCUACGUCACCGCCGACCAGUUCUACCAGUCCCACCUCACGCCGCUCCAGUCGGGCUGCUGCAAGCCCCCGUCGGUGUGCGGGUUCGGGUACGUGAGCCCGACGGUGUGGACGAACCCGGCGCGGCCGGCGUCGGACCCGGACUGCGGCCUGUGGGGCAACGACCCGGCGCAGCUGUGCUACGAGUGCGAGUCGUGCCGCGCGGGCCUCCUGGCGGCGCUGCGGAGCCAGUGGCACAAGGCCAACAUCGCGCUCGUCGUCGCCACCGUCUCGCUCGUCUUCCUCUACCUCAUCGGCUGCAGCGCAUACAAGAACGCGCACGCCGAGGCCAUCUACCGCCGCUACAAGUGGUGA